GAAAGGUGAGGAGUAGUGAGCAUGCGCUCUCCAACCAAAGAAAGACGCUGGAGAGGAAGGAGGGCCUGGCAGAGGACGAGGGGCCCGAGAGCAGGCGCCGUGGUCACCAGGUGAUCUGGACGGAGAGCAGAUAAGAUAGCAGUCCUGGAGGAAGAAAGCCCCCCCUCUCCCCUUUUACCUCGUGACUCGAGUGAGCCCGCAGCACCCCAAGGAACAGAUUGCAACUUCCAAGAGUUGUGUGUAUAGACAGGGGAGAGAUGGUAGGACUCACCUUCCUCCUCACACGGCUUGGUGCAGCACAAGUCUCCAACCUGGGUUCAAGUCCUGGUCCCCUUCCUGGGCAACCUUGACGUGGGUAUCCUGUCCUUUACAUCGCGGCCAGGUUGGGCUGGAAAAAGCCCCGGGAUUCCCCCCAGGGCUGAACUGGCUGGUCCUCAAACAAAAUGGCCACCGCGCUUCCCCCUCCUCGGCCGGGAGGGCAUCUCUGCCAGGAGGUGGCACCACGAGCUCAUGUUUCGGGCAGAGACGUGUCUGACCAUUUGGUAAUCGUCCCUCAGCAUUGCAAGGAGCCCGAAAACUCGCCUAUUUAAUAGCUGCCUCUACACAGAUUUUUAAUCACGGUCACUGAUUGCUGGCACAAUGCGGACCAGGAGAGAGCUCCGGGAGAACAGUGCUGCCGGCUGGCUGCAGGAAAGCUUUCAAGAGAAGACAUUUGAUCUUCUUAAAGGAUCAGUUGGCGGGCUGGGGAUGAGGAGGGAGACAGCCUCACAGGCAUUCCAGCCUCAGGGAAUAUCCUGGCAGAGACUAAGAGCUGAAAAGCAAGGGAGGCAGUGAGUUUAUCCUGGGUUAUCCAUGUGGAUCCCGUGUCAUCACAAGUCUCAUUAAAUGUGGAAGAGGAAGAAAGGAGAAGAGGUCAGAGCAAUGUGAGAACUCAGCCACUAUUGCUGGCUUUGAGGAUGGAGAAACGGGCAUGAGAAAAGGAAUGCUGUGGUCUCUAGAAGCUGGAAAGUGCAAGAAAGGAAGAUUCUCAGUAGAGGUUCCAGAAAGGAAGACAGCCCAUCCAACACCCUGAUGUUAGCCCAGGGAAACCUAUGUCAGACUUCUGACCUCCAGAGUAGGAAGAUAAUAAACCUGUUGUUUUAAGC
This is a long non-coding RNA of Bos taurus (domestic cattle), 1145 nucleotides long. NCBI's taxonomy places the organism in Eukaryota, Metazoa, Chordata, Mammalia, Artiodactyla, Bovidae. The record is from Ensembl.